ACCCAGACUCCUACGGGAGGCAGCAGUGGGGAAUAUUGCACAAUGGGGGAAACCCUGAUGCAGCGACGCCGCGUGAGCGAUGAAGUAUUUCGGUAUGUAAAGCUCUAUCAGCAGGGAAGAAGAUGGCGGUACCUGACUAAGAAGCCCCGGCUAACUACGUGCCAGCAGCCGCGGUAAUACGUAGGGGGCAAGCGUUAUCCGGAUUUACUGGGUGUAAAGGGAGCGUAGACGGCGAUGCAAGCCAGAUGUGAAAGCCCGGGGCUCAACCCCGGGACUGCAUUUGGAACUGUGUGGCUGGAGUGUCGGAGAGGCAGGCGGAAUUCCUAGUGUAGCGGUGAAAUGCGUAGAUAUUAGGAGGAACACCAGUGGCGAAGGCGGCCUGCUGGACGAUGACUGACGUUGAGGCUCGAAAGCGUGGGGAGCAAACAGGAUUAGAUACCCUAGUAUA
RNAcentral lists this ribosomal RNA (448 nucleotides) under uncultured bacterium. RNAcentral's name for it is "bacterial SSU rRNA". It matches the Rfam family "Bacterial small subunit ribosomal RNA", at positions 329 to 794 of the family's 1533-position model. The record is from RNAcentral.